Molecule: ribosomal RNA, 253 nt
Filed under: uncultured bacterium
Lineage: Bacteria
Description: partial 16S ribosomal RNA
Rfam family: Bacterial small subunit ribosomal RNA
Source: RNAcentral
UACAGAGGGUGCGAGCGUUGUUCGGAAUUAUUGGGCGUAAAGGGCGCGUAGGCGGUGCGGUAAGUCACCUGUGAAAUCUCCUGGCUCAACUGGGAGCUUGCAGGCGAAACUGCCGUGCUGGAGUGUGGGAGAGGUGAGUGGAAUUCCCGGUGUAGUGGUGAAAUGCGUAGAGAUCGGGAGGAAUACCUGUGGCGAAGGCGGCCUACUGGGCCGGACCUGACGCUGAGACGCGAAGGCGUGGGGAGCGAACGGG